Molecule: ribosomal RNA, 681 nt
Filed under: Arthrobacter sp.
Lineage: Bacteria; Bacillati; Actinomycetota; Actinomycetes; Micrococcales; Micrococcaceae
Description: bacterial SSU rRNA
Rfam family: Bacterial small subunit ribosomal RNA
Source: RNAcentral
AAACUGGGUCUAAUACCGGAUAUGACUUCUUACCGCAUGGUGGGUUGUUGAAAGAUUUAUCGGUGGGGGAUGGACUCGCGGCCUAUCAGCUUGUUGGUGAGGUAAUGGCUCACCAAGGCGACGACGGGUAGCCGGCCUGAGAGGGUGACCGGCCACACUGGGACUGAGACACGGCCCAGACUCCUACGGGAGGCAGCAGUGGGGAAUAUUGCACAAUGGGCGAAAGCCUGAUGCAGCGACGCCGCGUGAGGGAUGACGGCCUUCGGGUUGUAAACCUCUUUCAGUAGGGAAGAAGCGAAAGUGACGGUACCUGCAGAAGAAGCGCCGGCUAACUACGUGCCAGCAGCCGCGGUAAUACGUAGGGCGCAAGCGUUAUCCGGAUUUAUUGGGCGUAAAGAGCUCGUAGGCGGUUUGUCGCGUCUGCCGUGAAAGUCCGAGGCUCAACCUCGGAUCUGCGGUGGGUACGGGCAGACUAGAGUGAUGUAGGGGAGACUGGAAUUCCUGGUGUAGCGGUGAAAUGCGCAGAUAUCAGGAGGAACACCGAUGGCGAAGGCAGGUCUCUGGGCAUUUACUGACGCUGAGGAGCGAAAGCAUGGGGAGCGAACAGGAUUAGAUACCCUGGUAGUCCAUGCCGUAAACGUUGGGCACUAGGUGUGGGGGACAUUCCACGUUUUCCGCGCC